AGAAUCAUUCGCAAUGGGCGAAAGCCUGACGAUGCGACGCCGUGUGGACGAUGAAGGCCUUUGGGUCGUAAAGUCCUUUCGCUAGGGAACAAGAGAGAGUAACGAAUAAUUGCUCGAUUUGAGGGUACCUAGUAAAGAAGCACCGGCUAACGCCGUGCCAGCAGCUGCGGUAAUACGGAGGGUGCAAGCAUUAAUCGGAUUUAUUGGGUGUAAAGAGCGUGUAGGCGGAUAAGUAAGUCAGAUGUGAAAUUCCGAGGCUUAACUUCGGAGCUGCAUUUGAAACUGUUUAUCUUGAGGGUAGACGGGGAAAACGGAAUUCCACAUGUAGCGGUGAAAUGCGUAGAUAUGUGGAAGAACACCUGUGGCGAAAGCGGUUUUCUAGUUUAUUCCUGACGCUGAGGCGCGAAAGCAAGGGGAGCA
This 420-nucleotide ribosomal RNA is filed under the name uncultured bacterium. Its description in RNAcentral is "bacterial SSU rRNA". It matches the Rfam family "Bacterial small subunit ribosomal RNA", at positions 358 to 770 of the family's 1533-position model. The record is from RNAcentral.